Mesocricetus auratus (golden hamster) is the source of this 5052-nucleotide long non-coding RNA. RefSeq lists it as uncharacterized. The record is from RefSeq and is a predicted model, not a curated record. The transcript is spliced from 6 exons. Lineage: Eukaryota; Metazoa; Chordata; Mammalia; Rodentia; Cricetidae.
CAAAUCCAGAGUCGAGCACAUGGUUAGAAUGUGCUCGACCACUGAACUCCAGCCUGUGAACUUUAUUUUUAAGUGGAUGCCUUCCAUGCAAGGGAAUGCUAAUGCCACCAUUAUCUACCUCAGAGAGCUGAAGAGAUGUGAUAACUGGAUUAUCGUGGAAAUGUUCAAUUUACAAUUUGUGUUCUUUUUCUCACACAGGUCCCACAAUAACAAAACUGUUCUUCCCGGCCACACUCUUACAGUUCAAAACAGCAGAUGUAUGGAGGUUUUCUCCCUGUAUACCAAGUGCAUUCCAGCAGGCAGCAACCUGGUCAUGCUCUAAUUUAAUCCAGUCCUGACACUGCCCGCCUAGUGAUAGCACUUCAUGCCACAUGCUGAGUAUUCAGGCCCACAAGACUCCUCCGUUUCAGAUGCCAACCAGGAGCCACACCCAUCAGUCAGCCGUGACCCCUGCCACAGGCUUAGUUAAUUUACCAAAGUGGUUCUUGGAACUCAUCAAAGCUCUGUGCUUAUAACUGCCUAAUUGUGGAAAACAGGCGUAGGACAAGAUAAACAGGUUGGGGGGGGCACAUCUCUUCCCUGAACUUAAAUUACUCUGCAGUCCAAGAGCUCAUGUAAACUCUUCCCACAGUCCACAUCCCACCUUUAUUGUGUGUGUGUGUGUGUGUGUGUGUGUGCUCGAUUUAUGUGCACAGGUAUUUUGUCUACAUGUAUGACUGAGCACCAGGUGCAUACCUAGUGCCAGAAGAGGUCAUGCCAGAAAAGGUCAUCGGCUCUUCUGAGAUUGGAGUCACAGACACUUGUGAGUCGUGAUAUAGGUGCUAAGAAUUGUUGAGCGGUCCCUAGAGGCCCAGUUUUCCCUUUUUUGUGGGGGCUUCCUUGUGUGGGAUAAUUAAUUAAAUUACUGCCGUUAGAGACCAAUUCCUCUUCCAGGACGCUGGAAGGAUGUGCCAACAACCUCUUGCUCCUGCCCUGGUCUUCCCAGUGGAAAGCUGGAUCCCACUGCAGCGGUCUCUUCACAUACAAAACAAAACUAAAAAAACAAAAAACAAAAAACAAAAAACAAAACAAAACAAACAAACAAACAAAAAACACUCUGAAGACUACUAACCAGUUUAAGACCUCUCCUAGCUAUCUUGAAUUGUCAACUUGACACAAGAUAAAGUCUGAAAAGAAAGCCUCCAUUGAAGAAUUGCCUACAUCAGAUUGGCCUGUGGAGGUGUCUGUGGGGAUUGAUUGGAUUACUAACUGACACAGGCGCGUCCAGCCCACUGUGGGUGGUGCCAUCCCUAGGCAGCUGGGCCUGGGCUACAUAAGAAAGCCAGCUGAGCAUGCGCUAGGGAGCACGACAGAGAGUGAGCCAAUAAGCAGCAUUCCUCCGUGGUCUUUGCUUCAGGUUCCUGCCCUUACCUUUCUCUAUGACUGGACGUGAACUGAAAGUGUGAACCAUAGUUAAUCCAGCUGGGCCUGUCAAUCAUCUAGCCAGGAUUCCAGUGCCCAGGAAAGCUGCCUCACCAGAAGGCAUGCUGGGAGAGGGAGUACUACCUGGCCCCUUAAUGAGAUAUGACAUACAGCACCGUAUACAUUUCACUUCUACUACAAAAUGUUUAGCUUCUGAACACUGGAUUCAAUCAUUACAAAAAAGAAAAUCUGAGGGGACUUGGAGAAUGAAACCGGAAACACGAGGUGACACAAUUGGGCAGGUAAGAAAUGGAGGCAUGAAGAAAUCAAAAGCUUUGCUUCCCAGAGAGUUAGAGGCAGGCACCCUGCUUGUAGAGCUCUUCUGGUCACAGGAGCUAAACUACAAAUAGAGAACUUCUCUGUGUGGUCACUUAUCUCCACGGUGAUACUGCUGCCACAAAGGAAGUACACAACACACCAACGGUAGCCUGGAGUCCUGUCACUGCUUGGUGACGCCCUUGGUCAGAUAGAAUGUCCAGCUCUUGGGUGGCUAGGCAUCAUGCCGCUGACCUGAGAAGUUCUCAGUAAAUGGAAGAAAUGGAUAUAGUUUUUAUGUGUCCUUCCUUGUUUAUAGAUAAAAACGUUCUGAAGCAGGCAUGGUGCUACGGUUGCUGGAGGUUUUUGGCUCUGAGCCCUGGGCUCAGUCAGCUGCUCACAUACACCACCUAAAUACCUGGGCUUGUAACACUAAAAUAAAAGGGAGGGGUUUCAGUAUGGGCACAUACUGAAGUGGGCUACACUCCACUUCCUCUUAGUCCAGAAAAGGGCUUUCUGCACAAGCCCUGCAGGGCCAGUGCUAACAGAGUCCCCUGUCGAUCUCUGCAAGUUUUAGGCAGACAGUUCUGCUCUGAGGGCCUCAUGGCUGGCUGACAGCACUGCUUCUGUGUGAGUCUGCUAUACGCACCAAGAGGACUGUCUGUGAGCCUGCUAUGUGCAGCAAGGAGACCCUGUCCCAUCUUGAACCCAAGCAAGUGUCUUGCCAGCCCAGCCUUCUCCCAAUCUGCAGGCUGACCACAUGCCUCUUUCAAACUGCCUAAUCAUGGCAUGCAGAAGGAUUUGACAAUAUCAUCUUUACCAUUUGUCUCAGUAUUUGUUCAAUUGGUCCAUACUACUUGGCCAUCGUUACUUUGGUAUUCCAUUGUCAAGGAGGGCAGGAAACUCCAGAAGACUGACAUUCACCCCAGAACUCACUCUGGAGGAGAGUCCGUUUGCUGAUCUCAGUAAUCAGUUGUGUAUCUGGCUCCACCAGUACUCCGGUGGGGUACAUGUAUACUGUAAUCCCCCAGCUCACAAGGCAGGAGUGAUUUCUACAUUCAUAAAUGGCUGAGAGAAAAUCAAAACAACAAUAACCUGGGGCACACACAAAAAAGAAAGAGUUGGAGAGAUUGCUCAGCAGUUAGAGCACUGUCUACUCUUGCAGAGGACCAGGUUCAGUUCCCAGCACCACACAGGGCUCCCGGGUGCCUCUUAGGAAGUCUCAUGUCCUCUUCUGGCUUCUGUGGACACUGUAUGUACAUGGUACACAGAUGUACAUGCAGGCAAGCACUCAAGCAUAUGAGAUUAAAUAACUAAAUCUUUUUUUUAAGUAAAGUUCAAAUCUCUGUGUCCACAAAUGAGGGUCUGCCGGAACACAGUCAUGUAUGUUCCUUGACAGCUGUUGCUCUCCCCCAGCAGAACUAAACAGUUCCUGCAGAGACUGGAGACCCACAAAACUGAAGAAUUGGUGAUUUUGCCUUCUGCAGCAAAAGGUUACUAACCAGCUUCUGGCCCAGGUUAAGCCCUCCCCAUCCUGGUGGCUGUGUGGCCUGAAGGUCAAUGAGACAGUCCACUUGGGGCUUUGGUAAACUGCCUAAUAGCACAUGCUGGAGGAAAUAAUGGCUGCCUGGAAUCCUGCUGAGAUAAUAGGUGAUAGCCUCUACAAAAAAAGAGGACCUGGGAUUCAUUUCAUCAUAUGACAAAGAAAACCUGGACUGUGUGCUGGAGUCUACCUAUCCCUAUAAUUUGGGUUUGAAUGCACCUGCAAAGACCCAUGUGUUGAAGAGUCCCCAGGCAGUGUCACCAAGAAGUCACUGGAGGUAUGCCCCAGGGGGGGCUGCGGCUCCCAGUCUCUUCUGGCCAUGGUGUGAGGAGUUGGCCACUCCAGGAUCUCCACCUUUGCCUCCAGCAACCUCACCAAAGGCUUGCCAGAAGUGGAUCUUCUAGAUUAUGGAGUGGAGCCUUUGAAACCAUGAACUGGAACCAUGCUGCAGUUUACUGAAGGAAGAAGAAGGCUGUCUUGAAUGUAGCUGGACAUUAUCUAAUCCCUUGAAGGAACAAGGAGUAUGAAAGAGGCGGAGAAAGGAGCUGUCGCCAACUUGCUCAAACUGUGGAAAUGAUCUGAGGGAACUCAGGGGAAGGAAGAGACACGGCAUCGACAGGCGACAGCAGCUGAUCUUGCCUGUGUGUGGGGAACAUGCGGACUACAUGCAUGGGCGUGGACACAUGAUGAAGGACAGUUCCAAGUGUCCUGAGGUUUCUUUUCCAGAGCUCAGAGCUCUGGACAUAGCAUGUCCUGGAAGUAUUGGUGAACUGUCUCUCCACCUCUGUUCCUUGGGGCCAGCAUCCCAAAGUGGGUAGGAGCUCCUGCCCAGCCCAUCAUCAAGUGCGUGAAUACCAUCAAUGCAGAGAGACAAAUUGGAAGCACCUGUCAGCCAAGCCAGCUCUAAGCAGACACACAGGUUGUGGCUUCACACUGGCACAGUAGUUCGGGUACAGAACUCUUUACGGAAAUUUGCACUAACACUCGCUAUCAAGAACAAAAGAAUGUCUUUAGCUGGGAAGGAUUCACUGAAGUGAAAUUCGGCAGAGACUUGGCUGGACUAUGAGGGGGAAAAAGCCUGGGACUGAGCUCCUGGUACAAUCUUGUCCUGGACUACUUAGUUCCCCAACUGGUUUCUUCAUGUUGAAGUCCUGUGUUAAAGAAUGCUGUCCUCCCAAGAUAACAGCCACCACCUUCCUCAGAACAGCUGGGACUACUUGUAAGUGACCCUAAAGAUCAGGCUUAUUGGCCUUCCUUCAUGGUCACUGGACCCUCACCUGAGAGACUGGCCGCUCUGUCCGACACCUCCAAGCCAGUUUAUGUGACCUUCCCUGACUGCAUGUGGCAUCAUGAUCUGGAGAGGCAUUGCAAUACACAAACUGAGGGUGGACUCCAUGCCUGCGGCUAUGGAGAAGUUGUUACCAGUGCUGGAAGGAGAUGGCUGCUUCGGGGUCCCCUGCUCCUGUAAGUUACCUCUCAACCAUGCUCUGUAAAUAAGCCAAAGAAACCCAUCAGCUCCCCACACUGGACCACCACUAGGGUGGAUUGGUACUUUGGGUUUGUCUUUGGUGUGCCAUAAAGGAGUAGAUGCUUGUCCACAUCUGCCAGGAAAAGAGUUCUGUAAACACCCUGCCGUGUGGAAAAUGUACUCUCAGUACCCAGUUGCCUUAGCCGGUUUUAGAAAAAUUAACAAACAAACUUGUGAAAUCAAAAUUAAAAUUCCCAGAAUUCAAAUUUUCUCUCAAUUUUUUCAUUGAACAAAUGAAAAGAAUAAAGAUAAUUUUUUAAAAGUC